Long non-coding RNA from Drosophila miranda, 1241 nucleotides. RefSeq lists it as uncharacterized. The record is from RefSeq and is a predicted model, not a curated record. The transcript has 3 exons. Lineage: Eukaryota; Metazoa; Arthropoda; Insecta; Diptera; Drosophilidae.
UGCCUUUGUCACGCAGUUUUUGUGGUCCAACUCAGAACAUACAUACACACGUAUGUACAUAUAUGAUAUGUAAUAUUAAUAUGUAUACCCUGUGCAGUGUACACCCCAUAGCGGGUGGUCUGCCUGGACUGAAGUCAUUUAAUUGAUUCAUUGUGCAGCGAUGAAAAUAGUGGAACGCACUCGCAAGCUCUCCAAAGGCAGAGCUUUGACCUGGCAGUAGUCAUAAGGACAUCGAGAUGAGUGGAGUAGUUGCUGAAGAAUUGGCGUCAACCUUGUGCUUAUCCGGAGCCUUCAAGGAUGUUUCCAAUCCAGCCUGGCCGUAUUACAGCAACAGAAGUGGUGCUGUGGUCCGCCGUUUAUUCCUGCAUGAGGACGCAUGAGUGCAUGAGUGCACAGUGCGCAAAUGAGGGCCUGAAGACUCGGCGACAGCCUCUGGUGAUUGCGAUGGAAGAUGAGUAACCAAAGGUAAAGAAACGUGCAGAGUCUUUAAGAAUGCUGUAAAAUGGAUUAGGCAUUAAUGUGUCAUUACUAUGGAAUUUAUCAAAUUGUAUUGUACAGUGGGUGAAAUGACCAAUCUAGUAGAAGAAAACCUAUUUUGUGAAUGCAGAAUUCCUCCAAGAGAUUUUGGUUUUUUGUUUGGCUAUCGAACCUAACAUAUGGUUCGCAAGUGGCAGGAAGAAGUGUUUUCUCCGUCGUCAUUUAAAAUAAAUUUAAGGACCAGGAAUACCAGGCAAUUCGAACAAGUGAUACCCCAAUGCGGUAUCCUGGUCUGCACAGGGACAAUAAUUAAUCUUAACAUUGUUUUUGGUAUGACUUAGUUGUGGAUUUAUUUAAAAACUUAGCAAAACUUUUUUUUUUUUUAUUCUUAAUUACAAGUUUUUUUUUUUAAUAUUCUUCUUCUUUUUCAAAAAACUUCUACAUCUUUCUGUAAGGCCAGACUUAAGUUCUAUUCAAUAGCUUAGGAGCUAGAUGUUCUCUGUGUACCCACUAUACAUACAAAUACAUGUAGGGUUAGCAGCCAUUUAACCACCUGAUGAGUACCGAUCUGUGGUUAUGGAUAGUCGAUAUAUCGAUAGUGGUAGUAAGAUAGUAAGAGUUCGACCUCGGAAGAAGGAACUUAUUAGUAACCUAUUUGAAACCAGGAAUAAAUAUUAUACCUGAUAACUCAAUACAACGACAUGUGGCGUGUUUGUUUAAGGAGUUUCUGGAGCGGAUUACUACUGACUUGUAGUAAGCUCACU